UGAAUACGAGAUGCUACGGCGUCGAAGCAGUCUAUGUCAUACUUCCAAGAAAAGCUCGCACUGUCAUAAACAAAUAAUGCCUGUACCAUAACCGACACAGGUGGGUAGGUAGAGUAUACUAAGGGGCGCGAGAUAACCCUCUCUAAGGAACUCGGCAAAAUGACUCCGUAACUUCGGGAGAAGGAGUGCCUUAUUUAUAAGGUUGCAAUAACAAGAUCCAAGCAACUGUUUAUCAAAAACACAGGUCUCCGCUAAGUCGUAAGACGAUGUAUGGGGGCUGACGCCUGCCCAGUGCCAGAAGGUUAAAGAAGUUGGUUAGCAUUCGCGAAGCUGAUAACUGAAGCCCUGGUGAACGGCGGCCGUAACGAUAACGGUCCUAAGGUAGCGAAAUUCCUUGUCGGGUAAGUUCCGACCCGCACGAAAGGCGUAAUGAUUUGGAUACUGUCUCGGAGAGGGGCUCGGUGAAAUAGACUUGUCUGUGAAGAUGCGGACUACCUGCACCAGGACAGAAAGACCCUAUGAAGCUUUACUGUAACUUGAGAUUGAAAUUGGACUUUACUUGCGCAGUAUAGGUGGGAGGCGUUGAUAAUAUUCUUGCGGGAUUAUUUGAGCCAUCAGUGAGAUACCACUCUUGUAAUGUUAGAUUUCUAACUUUGUAUCAUUAUCUGGUCAAAGGACAGUUUCAGGCGGGCAGUUUGACUGGGGCGGUCGCCUCCUAAACGGUAACGGAGGCGCACAAAGGUUUCCUCUGAACGGGUAGAAAUCGUAUCUAGAGUGUAAAGGCAUAAGGAAGCUUGACUGUGAGACCUACAAGUCGAGCAGGGACGAAAGUCGGUCUUAGUGAUCCGACGGUGCUGAGUGGAAAGGCCGUCGCUCAACGGAUAAAAGUUACUCUAAGGAUAACAGGCUGAUCUCCCCCAAGAGUUCACAUCGACGGGGAGGUUUGGCACCUCGAUGUCGGCUCAUCGCAUCCUGGGGCGGUAGUACGUCCCAAGGGUUGGGCUGUUCGCCCAUGAAAGCGGUACGCGAGCUGGGUUCAGAACGUCGUGAGACAGUUCGGUCCAUAUCCGGUGUAGGCGUUAGAAUAUUGAGAGGAGCCUUCUUUAGUACGAGAGGACCGAGAAGGACAUACCUCUGGUGUACCAGUUAUCGUGCCAACGGUAAACGCUGGGUAGCUAUGUAUGGAGUGGAUAACCGCUGAAAGCAUCUAAGUGGGAAGCCCACCUCAAGAUAAGUA
Molecule: ribosomal RNA, 1237 nt
Filed under: metagenome
Description: bacterial LSU rRNA
Rfam family: Bacterial large subunit ribosomal RNA
Source: RNAcentral